Molecule: non-coding RNA, 606 nt
Organism: Zonotrichia albicollis (white-throated sparrow)
Lineage: Eukaryota; Metazoa; Chordata; Aves; Passeriformes; Passerellidae
Source: RefSeq, a predicted model, not a curated record
GCUGUAUGUACCUCCUGCAUUGGUGGCAAUUCCCAGUUAAUUUCCUAACCUUUGGCUGAGGAUCACCAGAUGGUUGAUGUGUUCUGUUGCUGUUUAUAAAAGGUGGCAGAUCUAAUAAUGGAGAUUAUCAAACUCUUGCCAAGAGGGGGCUGACUUCAAUGUACAGGUUUCUGCUUAGCAGGGAAGACAUCCUCAAACCUGCCCCUUAUUGAUGUAGCCUUGAAAGAAAUGCUUGCAGUUUGGUGGCAGAGAUCUCCUAACUCAUGCAGCCCAGGUCACUGGUGCCCCUGAAAAUGGGAAUAUCAAUGUCAUAAAAAACUAACACCAUGAAGGGGUUCAAGCUGCUUAGUGGUAUAGGUUUAACAUAGAAGAUCCGGACUAUGACCAGGAUCUUGCAGCAUUUAUUCUCUGUUUCUGUAACAGAUAUUUUAACAUAGAAGACCAUGAUUCCUUCUCAAAGAUCUGCUCAGCUGUGUCAAGGAUGUGAAUGAAGAAUUGAAUUAGUUGGAAAACUUCUUAUUGAAGAACUGGUAACAGAAUAUUAGUAAGCAUUUGCCUUAAAUACAUUUAGGUUUUCCUAAGUGAUGAUAGUGAUGGUCAUGCUCA